AGGGAAUCUUCCGCAAUGGGCGAAAGCCUGACGGAGCAACGCCGCGUGAGUGAUGAAGGUCUUCGGAUCGUAAAACUCUGUUAUUAGGGAAGAACAAAUGUGUAAGUAACUGUGCACGUCUUGACGGUACCUAAUCAGAAAGCCACGGCUAACUACGUGCCAGCAGCCGCGGUAAUACGUAGGUGGCAAGCGUUAUCCGGAAUUAUUGGGCGUAAAGCGCGCGUAAGCGGUUUCUUAAGUCUGAUGUGAAAGCCCACGGCUCAACCGUGGAGGGUCAUUGGAAACUGGGAAACUUGAGUGCAGAAGAGGAAAGUGGAAUUCCAUGUGUAGCGGUGAAAUGCGCAGAGAUAUGGAGGAGCACCAGUGGCGAAGGCGACUUUCUGGUCUGUAACUGACGCUGAUGUGCGAAAGCGUGGGGAUCAAACAGGAUUAGAUACCCUGGUAGUCCACGCCGUAAACGAUGAGUGCUAAGUGUUAGGGGGUUUCCGCCCCUUAGCGCUGCAGCUAACGCAUUAAGCACUCCGCCUGGGGAGUACGACCGCAAGGUUG
This 549-nucleotide ribosomal RNA is filed under the name uncultured bacterium. RNAcentral's name for it is "bacterial SSU rRNA". It matches the Rfam family "Bacterial small subunit ribosomal RNA", at positions 356 to 896 of the family's 1533-position model. The record is from RNAcentral.